This 601-nucleotide ribosomal RNA is filed under the name uncultured bacterium. Its description in RNAcentral is "bacterial SSU rRNA". It matches the Rfam family "Bacterial small subunit ribosomal RNA", at positions 726 to 1331 of the family's 1533-position model. The record is from RNAcentral.
GUACCGUAGUCUUACUGACGUUCAUGCUCGAAGGUGCGGGUAUCGAACAGGAUUAGAUACCCUGGUAGUCCGCACGGUAAACGAUGGAUGCCCGCUGUUUGCGAUACACAGUAAGCGGCCAAGCGAAAGCAUUAAGCAUCCCACCUGGGGAGUACGCCGGCAACGGUGAAACUCAAAGGAAUUGACGGGGGCCCGCACAAGCGGAGGAACAUGUGGUUUAAUUCGAUGAUACGCGAGGAACCUUACCCGGGCUUGAACUGCAGCGGAAGGAAACAGAGAUGUUGACGUCCUUCGGGACCGCUGCGGAGGUGCUGCAUGGUUGUCGUCAGCUCGCGCCGUGAGGUGUCGGCUUAAGUGCCAUAACGAGCGCAACCCCUGCGGUCAGUUGCCAUCAGUAUUAGCUGGGCACUCUGGCCGGACUGCCACCGCAAGGUGUGAGGAAGGUGGGGACGACGUCAAAUCAGCACGGCCCUUACGUCCGGGGCUACACACGUGUUACAAUGGGGAGCACAGCGAGUCGGCCGCCCGCAAGGUCGGUCCAAUCAGUAAACCUCCCCUCAGUUCGGACUGGGGUCUGCAACCCGACCCCACGAAGCUGGAU